GCGAAGGUGGCGGAAUUGGGUAGACGCGCUAGCUUCAGGUGUUAGUGUUCUUACGGACGUGGGGGUUCAAGUCCCCCCCCCUCGCACCA
This 89-nucleotide transfer RNA is filed under the name Escherichia coli E1520. RNAcentral describes it as "tRNA-Leu". It matches the Rfam family "tRNA". From Rfam's summary of the family: Transfer RNA (tRNA) molecules are approximately 80 nucleotides in length. Lineage: Bacteria; Pseudomonadati; Pseudomonadota; Gammaproteobacteria; Enterobacterales; Enterobacteriaceae. The record is from RNAcentral.